Molecule: ribosomal RNA, 338 nt
Filed under: uncultured bacterium
Lineage: Bacteria
Description: bacterial SSU rRNA
Rfam family: Bacterial small subunit ribosomal RNA
Source: RNAcentral
AUUGAACGCUGGCGGCGUGCCUAACACAUGCAAGUCGAGCGGUAACAGGUGUAGCAAUACAUGCUGACGAGCGGCGGACGGGUGAGUAACGCUUGGGAAUCUGCCUAUUAGUGGGGGACGAACCCGGGGAAACGUACGGGCGUAAUACCGCAUACGCUCUACGGAGGAAAGCCGGGACCGGCAAGGCCUGGCGCUAAUAGAUGAGCCCAAGUCGGAUUAGCUAGUUGGUAGGGUAAGUGGCCUACCAAGGCGACGAUCCGUAACUGGUCUGAGAGGACGACCAGUCACACCGGAACUGAGACACGGUCCGGACUCCUACGGGAGGCAGCAGUGGGGAA